AUCAUUAUUUCACCUGACCGUUUGAUCUUCUACUUUUUUCAACAGCUUGAAUACGGGUUCACACAUGGCGGUUAGAUGAGAUAUGAACCGUGAAAUGCAGUUCAAUCUAUCUAAGAAACCACGAACCUUCUUUUCUAUUCUCGGUUCAGGCAUUUCUUGUAUUGCUUCUUUUUAGCAGGAUCAACCUCGAUUCCUCUUUCGCUUACAAUAAGCCUAAGCAACUGACCGAACUGCACUCCGAAAGUGCGCUCACUCGGAUUCAACCUCAGUUUGAAU
Molecule: long non-coding RNA, 276 nt
Filed under: Lathyrus oleraceus (garden pea)
Lineage: Eukaryota; Viridiplantae; Streptophyta; Magnoliopsida; Fabales; Fabaceae
Description: Pisum sativum (pea) long non-coding RNA (PSAT_LNC029510)
Source: RNAcentral